AGUUGAUCAUGGCUCAGGAUGAACGCUAGCUACAGGCUUAACACAUGCAAGUCGAGGGGCAGCAUGGGAGUUGCUGCAACUCCGAUGGCGACCGGCGCACGGGUGAGUAACGCGUAUCCAACCUGGCCCUUAGUAGGGAACAGCCCGGCGAAAGUCGGAUUAAUGCCCUAUGUUUUCCAAUGAUGGCAUCUGACUUGGAACAAAGAUUCAUCGCUAAGGGAUGGGGAUGCGUCUGAUUAGCUUGUCGGCGGGGUAACGGCCCACCGAGGCGACGAUCAGUAGGGGUUCUGAGAGGAAGGUCCCCCCACAUUGGUACUGAGACACGGACCAAACUCCUACGGGAGGCAGCAGUGAGGAAUAUUGGUCAAUGGGCGUAAGCCUGAACCAGCCAAGUAGCGUGCCAGGAAGACUGCCCUAUGGGUUGUAAACUGCUUUUAUGCGGGAAUAAAGUCAGGUACGCGUACCUGUUUGUAUGUACCGCAUGAAUAAGGACCGGCUAAUUCCGUGCCAGCAGCCGC
This 518-nucleotide ribosomal RNA is filed under the name uncultured bacterium. RNAcentral describes it as "bacterial SSU rRNA". It matches the Rfam family "Bacterial small subunit ribosomal RNA", at positions 10 to 518 of the family's 1533-position model. The record is from RNAcentral.